GUGAAUCAUCGAAUCUUUGAACGCACAUUGCGCCCUUUGGUAUUCCUUAGGGCAUGCCUGUUCGAGCGUCAUUUACACCCUCAAGCGCGGCUUGGUGAUGGGCGCCUGUCCUCCGGGACUCGCCUCAAAAGAAUUGGCAGCCAACUUCAGCGGCUUUGAGCGCAGCAGAAUUGCGUCCUCUCGCGGCGAAGGCGGCAUCCACAAGCUUACUUUUUACUUUGACCUCGGAUCAGGUAGGGAUACCCGCUGAACUUAAGCAUAUCAAUAAGCGGAGGA
RNAcentral lists this unclassified non-coding RNA (276 nucleotides) under Lophiostoma sp. Its description in RNAcentral is "partial contains 5.8S ribosomal RNA, internal transcribed spacer 2, and large subunit ribosomal RNA". The stretch from base 1 to 71 matches the Rfam family "5.8S ribosomal RNA", at positions 84 to 154 of the family's 154-position model. Lineage: Eukaryota; Fungi; Ascomycota; Dothideomycetes; Pleosporales; Lophiostomataceae. The record is from RNAcentral.